This 257-nucleotide ribosomal RNA is filed under the name uncultured Gammaproteobacteria bacterium. RNAcentral describes it as "partial 16S ribosomal RNA". It matches the Rfam family "Bacterial small subunit ribosomal RNA", at positions 1 to 278 of the family's 1533-position model. The record is from RNAcentral. Lineage: Bacteria; Pseudomonadati; Pseudomonadota; Gammaproteobacteria.
UGACGAGUUUGAUCCUGGCUCAGAUUGAACGCUGGCGGCAGGCCUAACACAUGCAAGUCGAGCGGGGUUUUCGGACCUAGCGGCGGACGGGUGAGUAAUGCGUAGGAAGCUGCCCGAUAGAGGGGGAUACCAGUUGGAAACGACUGUUAAUACCGCAUAUUGUCUACGGACCAAAGUGUGGGACCUUCGGCCACAUACUAUCGGAUGCGCCUACGUGGAUUAGCUAGUUGGUGAGGUAAUGGCUCACCAAGGCGACG